Molecule: long non-coding RNA, 255 nt
Filed under: Panax ginseng (ginseng)
Lineage: Eukaryota; Viridiplantae; Streptophyta; Magnoliopsida; Apiales; Araliaceae
Description: long non-coding RNA (PGIN_LNC015818)
Source: RNAcentral
GAAAAAACAGAGAGAAGUACCAGAUUUGAACGCUGACGAAGAGAAAGAGAUCAGAAGGAGAAGGAGAGGAGAGAGAUGGUGAAUUUAGUCGAAAAGGGUCUCAGAAAUCUGGGGAUUGAAUUAUAUGGUUAUGGAUUUCCUUGUUAUUCAUCUUCUCUGUCCCUCCUUCCGAUUUCCUUGUUAUUCAUCCAUUUGAUUUUUUGAUGUUGUGAGAUAUUGUUCCAGUAAAGAUUGUGUGGGGUCACUUUCUGUUUA